AUGGUCCAGAACUUGAAGGACUUAGAGGAAUGGCUGCAUACUGACUCCUGGGACAUAGUCAUGGCACUGAAGCUGCUGCUAGGGGCCAGCACUGUGGCCUAUGGUGUCCCCAAAUCCAAGUUCACCAUGGAAGGCAAACACAGCCAUCUUCUUCAAUUAUAUCGGUGGCAUGCAGCAAGACACUAUCCUGGCCAAAGGCUUCAUUUCAGGAUUCCCUGGUCUCGGUACCCCAUCAACGAUGACAUUCUGGCCGGACCUUGAAAAAUUUCCUCCCUAACAGGCUCAAAAGACCUGCAGAUGGUGAACAUAUCCCUGUACAUGGUGUCUCAACCCAAUGUUCAGGAGCUUCCUAGCAUGCACAAGCACCUAGGGCUAGACAACAAAGAAUGAGUGUUGCCAUCCAUUGUCAAAAGAGUACUCAAGAGUGUGGUGGCCAAGUUCAAUGCCUCAUAGCUGAUUACCCAGUGGGCCCAGGUAUCCCUGUUGAUUCAUUGGGAGCUGCCAGAGAGGGCCAAGGACUUCAGUCUUAUCUUGGAUGAUGUAGCCAUCACAGAGCUGAGCUUUAGCUGAGAGUACACAGCUACUGUAGAGGCCAAACAAGUGGUCCAGCAGGAGGCCCAGCAGGCCCAGUUCUUCGUAGAAAAAGCAAAACUAGAACACCAGCAAAAGAUUGCCCAGGCCAAGUGUGAAGCUGAGGCUGCUAAGAUGCUUGGGGAAGCACUGAGCAAGAACCCUGGCUACAUCAAAAUUCACAAGAUUAGGCAGCCCAGAACAUCUCCAAGACAAUCACAUCAUAGAAUCAUAUCUGUCUCACUGAUGACAAUCUUGUGCUGAACCUACAGGAUAAGACUUUCACCUGGGGAAAUAAAGGCAGCCUCAUUAAGGGUAAG
This 890-nucleotide long non-coding RNA is filed under the name Homo sapiens (human). RNAcentral describes it as "non-protein coding lnc-ADD3-9:1". The record is from RNAcentral. Lineage: Eukaryota; Metazoa; Chordata; Mammalia; Primates; Hominidae.